AGGAGAAGGCGAUCCUUGAGGAGACAGCAAAAGACCGCCCCAAAAUUCAGGAGGAAGUUCGUCUUGCAAUUGCCACGCUGAUGGAGGGCGAAAAUGGUUCUUUUCCAACUUAAAAACCCUCCCCUCCCUAAUGAUUGCCCCUCUUUACUAACGCGGCUUCCUCCGGCGCGUAUGCAGCUGGAUUUGUUGUUCCUCGGGCGCGGCUUCCUCCUCAGGCAAACGGCUCCGGCGCGCAGCUUCCUCCUCAGGCAAACGGCUCCGGCGAGGUAACAACCCCUUUUUCUUCCCUCGAGUUUUGAUCUGUUUUUUUGCUUGGCCUUUAGAUCUUACCUUUGGUUCUAUCUGCCUUCUUUUUUCCUUUUUUUUUAUUAGAUUCAGGAGGCGAACAAGAAGACUAGCUGAUGGACCGGUUCACUAGUAGUGAAUGUCAGCGUUACUAUUAGAGAUUGAGAUGAGACUAUGGAGGCUAAUAACUGAAGAACUGCCUAAUUCAUGUCAGCAUCAGGGCAGUGUACUCCGUGUGGUAAUCAGACUCUUAACACUCGUCGGUCUGCUUGUAGUACUAAUUAAGUUAUUGUAUCAGACAUUAGUGGUAUGUGUGUGGUAAUUAUCAGUCUCUAAGUUCAUCAACAAAGGGAUAUCCUCAGACAAAACACGGCAAAUUGACAUUCAGACAUUUUUAUAGACAAGUUCAGUUUAUUUCUGGAACAACACAAGUUACAAGCAUCCAGGUACAAAUUAGACUAAAAUUCAGUUUGCUCAACAUAACCAGUAAUUAGAUCAAUCCUUCAGCCUGAGCUCCUUUUCACUCCGACGCCCACCUUAUCACCUUCUACCUGUUUCUGGUUCACAACAAGAUUGCUUGUUCAUAUCUUCCUGAUGUAUAAAUGUCAAUCUGUCCAUUUCUUCAGGCUUACUUGCUUCUUCAACUCAGCUGACUAAAAUCUAACAAAAAAGAGAACAUGAAUGAGUACUCUUGAAUCAGAACUCGCGACUUGCCAAAUUUUAGAAGUACAACACAGAGAAAAAUGAGCAGCUUCCAAACAGUUAGCAUUAAACAAUAAUACUCCAGUAAUAGAUAGACAAUGAGGGAAACAGUUUGUCAUACAUCUGAAAUUUGACGUAUCUCUGCAGACAGAUAGGCAUAUGAGAUUUGGAUAAUUUUUUAUUCAAGUGCAGAAAUAUAUACCUUGAUCUUCUCCCUCCGGCUCUAAUGACACACCUUUGCAUCUUUCUAGGUCUGCAAAACACAAAAAUAGAGAAAUUACGAGAUUACUUGUGGUUAUUAACUUUGUGAAGAACAAAAGAAAAACUUACUAACCGGCUGUUCUGAGCCAGUUUUGUAGGCAAUCAAAGUCUCGACGGUUUGUAGGCUUAUCAACUAGUGGACUAGUAGAUCGCAGCACUGAAAAGAAAAACAUUCAGUCAAGUUGCACAAGUUUCACAAAACAUUCAGUAAAGGAUGGAUUUACUUAAGGCAUCCAACAAAUUGGUGCAUUCAGCUAAGGGCUUAAGGCAUAACAAAAUAUGGUACCCUGAAAAACUGAUCUGCAUCAUAAAUAUCACUCAACAGUCAGCACACUUCUAUCUAUACUAAAUAAAAAUAUGCCAUCUCGCCUACAGUUCAGCUGUUCACACACAACAGGAAAAGGAACCACGCUCAAAGUCCAAGCAGUGGCAUCCUAAUUCAACGCCUACAAUUCAGAUCGCUGAAUUAACUCACCCAACAAUUUUGCCGAGAGCCAAAAUAAGGGAUUACCUUGGGAUUUUUGGAGAUUGCUACAGCUUCUUCUUUGACUGUUCUCCACUUGGAUCUUGAUUUUGGUUCUUGGUCGAUGGGCCUCUUGCGGACAUUGAGGAAGAAGGCAGCGGCGUCCAUGGUGGAGAUGAAGGGGGGAACUAGGGUUACCAUGGGGGAAGUGGACGGUGGCGCUAGGCCGGCCAUGGCGGAGGUGGACGACGGCGGCGUGGCCAUGGCGGAGGUGGACGACGGCGGCGUGGCCAUGGCGGAGGUGGAAGGCGGCGGCGGUGCCUUAUCCCCUCACGGGCUUGGCUACUUCAGCUGGUAAACUAGGUGGGCGAUGUGGG
This 2088-nucleotide long non-coding RNA is filed under the name Triticum aestivum (bread wheat). Its description in RNAcentral is "long non-coding RNA (TAES_LNC009173)". The record is from RNAcentral. Lineage: Eukaryota; Viridiplantae; Streptophyta; Magnoliopsida; Poales; Poaceae.